RNAcentral lists this ribosomal RNA (584 nucleotides) under uncultured bacterium. Its description in RNAcentral is "partial 16S ribosomal RNA". It matches the Rfam family "Bacterial small subunit ribosomal RNA", at positions 355 to 1375 of the family's 1533-position model. The record is from RNAcentral.
UGGGGAAUUUUGGACAAUGGGCGAAAGCCUGAUCCAGCAAUGCCGCGUGUGUGAAGAAGGCCUUCGGGUUGUAAGGCACUUUUGUCCGGAAAGAAAUCCUUGGCUCUAAUACAGUCGGGGGAUGACGGUACCGGAAGAAUAAGCACCGGCUAACUACGUGCCAGCAGCCGCGGUAAUACGUAGGGUGCAAGCGUUAAUCGGAAUUACUGGGCGUAAAGCGUGCGCAGGCGGUUUGCUAAGACCGAUGUGAAAUCCCCGGGCUCAACCUGGGAACUGCAUUGGUGACUGGCAGGCUAGAGUAUGGCAGAGGGGGGUAGAAUUCCACGUGUAGCAGUGAAAUGCGUAGAGAUGUGGAGGAAUACCGAUGGCGAAGGCAGCCCCCUGGGCCAAUACUGACGCUCAUGCACGAAAGCGUGGGGAGCAAACAGGAUUAGAUACCCUGGUAGUCCACGCCCUAAACGAUGUCAACUAGUUGUUGGGGAUUCAUUCCUUAGUAACGUAGCUAACGCGUGAAGUUGACCGCCUGGGGAGUACGGUCGCAAGAUUAAAACUCAAAUGAAUUGACGGGGUCAUAGCUGUUUCCU